This 473-nucleotide ribosomal RNA is filed under the name uncultured bacterium. RNAcentral describes it as "partial 16S ribosomal RNA". It matches the Rfam family "Bacterial small subunit ribosomal RNA", at positions 28 to 507 of the family's 1533-position model. The record is from RNAcentral.
GAUGAACGCUAGCGGCAGGCCUAAUACAUGCAAGUCGAACGGGUGGUCGCAAGACCCCUAGUGGCGCACGGGUGCGUACCGCGUAACCAACCUGCCCCGAUCUGGGGGAUAGCCCGCCGAAAGGCGGAUUAAUACCGCAUAUACCCGCAGCCUGGCAUCAGGCAACGGGGAAAGAUUUAUUGGAUCGGGAUGGGGUUGCGUGACAUUAGGUAGUGGGCGGGGUAAGGGCCCACCAAGGCGACGAUGUCUAGGGGACCUGAGAGGGUGAUCCCCCACACUGGCACUGGGAUACGGGCCAGACGCGUACGAGAGGCAGCAGUAGGGAGUAUUGGGGAGUGGGCGAGAGCCUGACCCAGCCAUGCCGCGUGCCGGAUGAAGGCCUUCUGGGGUGUAAACGGCUUUUCUCAAGGAAGAAAAAGACCUUGCGAGGUACACUGACGGUACCUGAGGAAUAAGCACCGGCUAACUCCGUG